CCCUUAGAUGUUCUGGGCCGCACGCGUGCUACACUGAGUGGAUCAGCGGGUCAGGUUGCGCGAAAACGUUUCCUAAUCUUUAAAUCCGCUCGUGAUGGGGAUUGACGGUUGCAAUUUUCUGUCAUGAACGAGGAAUACCUUGUAAGCGCGGGUCAUCAUCCCGCGCUGAAUACGUCCCUGCCCUUUGUACACACCGCCCGUCGCUCCUACCGAUUGAGUGGUCCGGUGAGGCUUUGGGAUCUGAGCGGAAAGAGCGUUUCGCUGUUUCUGCUCGGAAAACUCAGUCGAACCUUAUCAUUUAGAGGAAGGAGAAGUCGUAACA
RNAcentral lists this ribosomal RNA (322 nucleotides) under uncultured eukaryote. RNAcentral describes it as "partial 18S ribosomal RNA". It matches the Rfam family "Eukaryotic small subunit ribosomal RNA", at positions 1470 to 1796 of the family's 1831-position model. The record is from RNAcentral.